CUUUCAGUGGCUUUUGAAGGCAGCGCGUGUUAUCUGGAGUAGGCGGUGGUGCCGGCGGCCGCUCGUAGCGCGCUCUGAGCCCCAUGUAGAGUGCCCCCCUCCCCCUUCUAAAUUUGCGGGGAACGUCACGCAACACAAGAUGGAGGAUUCGUUGGCACAUGAAUAUUUUAGAUGUUGAACUGCAUCUCAACUCUGCUUCACACCAGGCGAAGAAGCAGGAACAAGGAAAAACACUACUCACUACUGGAGUCAAGACAUUUUAAUAGCCUCGGGGAUUAUGCUAAUAUUUAAUAAUCAAUCUUAUUCAGUACCACAUUUUUAGUUUGUGAUGUAAUUCGUAGCAAAACCAAGUUAAAUGCUUCUUGGGGUUAUGGAGGAAAAUCGAGUUAUGUGGCUACAAAAUCCUCUGUUUGAAUACCCAGACCUGCCAUCAGCGAGUCUAUCUCUCAGUCUAAUAUUGGCGUUUAAUAUUUCUGUCUUUCCUGUCAUAUCAUCUUCUCGAAAUGCGAUCUCUUCCAUUGGAGAGUAAAGACUUUGACUACAGACAUUUCCAAUUAUUAGUAAUGGGUCACGGGGAUUGCUAGCCAUUUCCAUAAAAGCAAUAAAAGGAGCGGUUGGAUUUUA
Boleophthalmus pectinirostris (great blue-spotted mudskipper) is the source of this 624-nucleotide long non-coding RNA. RefSeq lists it as uncharacterized. Lineage: Eukaryota; Metazoa; Chordata; Actinopteri; Gobiiformes; Gobiidae. The transcript is spliced from 3 exons. The record is from RefSeq and is a predicted model, not a curated record.